RNAcentral lists this transfer RNA (65 nucleotides) under Margarya oxytropoides. RNAcentral describes it as "tRNA-Phe". Lineage: Eukaryota; Metazoa; Mollusca; Gastropoda; Architaenioglossa; Viviparidae. The record is from RNAcentral.
AUUUUAGUAGCUUAAGGUUGAGAGUAGAGCCUUGAAGGUGCUAAGGUAGUAAAUACUCUAAAAUA